UGCAGUCGAACGAGAUCCUUCGGGGUCUAGUGGCGCACGGGUGCGUAACGCGUGGGAAUCUGCCCUUAGGUUCGGAAUAACAGUUAGAAAUGACUGCUAAUACCGGAUGAUGACGUUAAGUCCAAAGAUUUAUCGCCUGAGGAUGAGCCCGCGUAGGAUUAGCUAGUUGGUGUGGUAAAGGCGCACCAAGGCGACGAUCCUUAGCUGGUCUGAGAGGAUGAUCAGCCACACUGGGACUGAGACACGGCCCAGACUCCUACGGGAGGCAGCAGUGGGGAAUAUUGGACAAUGGGCGCAAGCCUGAUCCAGCAAUGCCGCGUGAGUGAUGAAGGCCUUAGGGUUGUAAAGCUCUUUUACCCGGGAUGAUAAUGACAGUACCGGGAGAAUAAGCCCCGGCUAACUCCGUGCCAGCAGCCGCGGUAAUACGGAGGGGGCUAGCGUUGUUCGGAAUUACUGGGCGUAAAGCGCACGUAGGCGGCUUUGUAAGUUAGAGGUGAAAGCCUGGAGCUCAACUCCAGAACUGCCUUUAAGACUGCAUCGCUUGAAUCCAGGAGAGGUGAGUGGAAUUCCGAGUGUAGAGGUGAAAUUCGUAGAUAUUCGGAAGAACACCAGUGGCGAAGGCGGCUCACUG
Molecule: ribosomal RNA, 631 nt
Filed under: uncultured bacterium
Lineage: Bacteria
Description: bacterial SSU rRNA
Rfam family: Bacterial small subunit ribosomal RNA
Source: RNAcentral